CUUUGGAGUGACCUAAUUGUGGCCUUGCAGGACCUGAAGGGAGCCCACAAGAAAGACGGGCAAGACUAUUUGCAAGAGCUGGAGUGAGGGGACAAGGGAGAAUGGGUUCGAGUUGAAAGUAGGUUUAGAUUAGAUAUCAGGAGAAUCUUUUUUUCACUAUGAGGGUGUUGAUGCCCUGGCACAGGAUGCCCAGAGAAGCUGUGGCUGCCCCUGGAUCCCUGGAAGGGUCCAAGGCCGGGCUGGAUGGGGCUCGGAGCAUCCUGGUCUAGAGGAAGGUGUCCUUGCCGAUGCCCUGGCACAGGAUGCCCAGAGAAGCUGUGGCUGCCCCUGGAUCCCUGGAAGGGUCCAAGGCCGGGCUGGAUGGGGCUCGGAGCAUCCUGGUCUAGAGAAAGGUGUCCUCGCCCACGGCAGGGGGCUGGAACGAGACUACUACAUUCGAGAUCCCUUCCAAGCCAUACCAUUCCAUGAUUCCAUGAACAGGCUCCCGGAGCACCGGGAUCCGGGAUCCGGCGUGGAGCCGGGCGGGGAGCGGCGGCUUGGGAAGAGACGCAGUGACCGGAAAGGGGGAUGCAGUGACCGGGGAGGGGAUGCAGUGACCGGGGAGGGGACGCGGUGUCCGGUCCCGCCCCGCUGCCGGCAGCUCCCCCCCCCCCCCCCCCCGAGCCGCCACUGCGCCGGUGCCGCUGCCGCGGGCUCCGCGCCGGGGAUGCUCGGAGGAUGCGCGGAUGAUGCGCGGAGGAUGCGCCGGGGAUGCUCGGAGGAUGCGCGGAGGAUGCUCGGAGGAUGCGCCUGGGAUGCUCGGCGGGCUCCGCGCCGGGGAUGCUCGGAGGAUGCGCGGAUGAUGCGCGGAGGAUGCGCCGGGGAUGCUCGGAGGAUGCGCGGGGGACCCGCAGCGCCCAGCCCACGCCGUGGUUUCCACAUCCUGCUGAUACAGGAAAUAGGUAGCCGUGGUUAUGGAGUUCUCUUAAGCCAAGCAGUGGCAGCAUCCCUUGGAAAGUUUUUCCGCCCCAAAGGCAUCGGCAGCUCAGCUGGAGGGCUGGAGGGAGGACUGUAAGAAGAGCUGAGAAUGAGAUGGACUUACCAUGAAGGACACAAAGCUCUGAGUGAUGAUGAGCUGCAGAUGAA
This 1125-nucleotide long non-coding RNA is filed under the name Ficedula albicollis (Collared flycatcher). Its description in RNAcentral is "lncRNA (ENSFALG00000023832.1)". Lineage: Eukaryota; Metazoa; Chordata; Aves; Passeriformes; Muscicapidae. The record is from RNAcentral.